RNAcentral lists this RNase P RNA (304 nucleotides) under Planktothrix mougeotii CCAP 1460/6. RNAcentral describes it as "partial ribonuclease P RNA". It matches the Rfam family "Bacterial RNase P class A", at positions 102 to 344 of the family's 367-position model. From Rfam's summary of the family: Ribonuclease P (RNase P) is a ubiquitous endoribonuclease, found in archaea, bacteria and eukarya as well as chloroplasts and mitochondria. Its best characterised activity is the generation of mature 5'-ends of tRNAs by cleaving the 5'-leader elements of precursor-tRNAs. The record is from RNAcentral. Lineage: Bacteria; Bacillati; Cyanobacteriota; Cyanophyceae; Oscillatoriales; Microcoleaceae.
GAGGAUAGUGCCACAGAAAGAUACCGCCUUUUUACAGUCAACCGUGAACAGUCAAUCUUUUGAUAACUGAUAACUGAUAACUGAUAACUGAUAAGGGGUAAGGGUGCAAAGGUGUGGUAAGAGCGCACCAGCAACGUCGUGAGGCGUUGGCUCGGUAAACCCCGGUUGGGAGCAAGGUCGGAGGAACUAAGGUUGGUCUUUUUCCCGUUCCGCUCAAAAGUGGUACCGCUAGAGGUGUUUGGUAACAGACAUCCCAGAUAGAUAAUCGCCAUCCAAAGCUGAUUUCAGCCUGGAUAACAGAACC